This 72-nucleotide transfer RNA is filed under the name Candidatus Yanofskyibacteriota bacterium. RNAcentral's name for it is "Candidatus Yanofskybacteria bacterium tRNA-Thr". It matches the Rfam family "tRNA". From Rfam's summary of the family: Transfer RNA (tRNA) molecules are approximately 80 nucleotides in length. Lineage: Bacteria; Candidatus Yanofskyibacteriota. The record is from RNAcentral.
GCCGGAGUAGCUCAGAGGCAGAGCAGGGCUUUCGUAAAGCUCAGGCCGUGAGUUCGAGUCUCACCUCCGGCU